GGGUUGGUCCCUCGCGGCACUAAGCAGAAAACCCCGCCAGGUCAGGAAUGAAGCAACGGUAUUUGUGAUGUGGGCGCCGAGGUUCAGCUGGCUCAAG
Molecule: signal recognition particle RNA, 97 nt
Filed under: Gammaproteobacteria bacterium
Lineage: Bacteria; Pseudomonadati; Pseudomonadota; Gammaproteobacteria
Description: signal recognition particle sRNA small type
Rfam family: Bacterial small signal recognition particle RNA
About the family: The signal recognition particle (SRP) is a universally conserved ribonucleoprotein involved in the co-translational targeting of proteins to membranes. Archaeal SRP consists of a 7S RNA and homologues of the eukaryotic SRP19 and SRP54 proteins.
Source: RNAcentral